GUUGAACCUGCAGGAAAUCACGUUUAUGACAUGCGUUAUGCUUUUAAUCACCACUGUAGCACAUUUAGCCUGGGGUCCUGAAUUACUACACAGAAUAAUUACAUGAAUAAUACAAAUAUAUAAUAAUAUACAAAAUAAUAAUAAAUAAUACAAAAAUAAUUCAAGCACAACGCUGCUGAGUUCUGGAUCGUGAUUGGGUCAGAAGGUGUUGAUUAGUUCUCCGUAACAGCAGCUCUGACAGUAGUGUUAUCGUUUCUAUAGUAACAGCUCGUUUAUACACGCCACAUAAACAUUAAAAGGAAAGUCCAUUAACAUGGAAGGAGUCUCCAGUGUCGGUGCUUUGUAACAGUCUGGACAAAGGAGUUUAUAAUAAAAGUUUUAUAAUAAGUUCAAAUUUAGGAAUAAUAAACACUUCAGGACGUGCUGUUUAUAGUAAAACAGCCACCUUGGGGUGGACACCUGGUCAUCGAUUAUUUAUUUAUUUUUAAAUAAUAGCACGUCAUGUCAUGUUUUCUACCUCACUUAAUACCAUGAGUUUAGAAUUUCAAGGAAACAUCACUAGACAUCACUACAGUUCUGAUCCUGGUCUCGAUUUAUAUCUUAACUCCAGAACGGCAGAUUUCUGGACCUGACACCAUACGUCUCGUACCAGUCGUCGCUCUCUUCGUCGUAGUACUUGUAGCCGCCAACCAUGUACAAGCGGCCGUCCGUCACCUGGAAGAAGAAGAAGAGGAAGAAGAAGGCGGCGUCAUGGUGAAGAGAGCGAUUACAGACACUUCACUGACUCUCAGCACUGGAAGUUCUUACCGCAAACACUCGGUUGUUCAGAGCGAUGAUGCUCACGACACUGCUUUGGAUGGGCAUCGGUUCGAUUCGCGUCCACUGAUCGUAACGAGGUUUGAAACACUCGGCCGUGAAAAGGCACUCAUUGCCGUUGAGUCCUCCACAGAUGUAGAUCUAAAGGAACCCCAAACCAAGAAGGUUCUGGGUGUUUCCAUUUCAAGCUUUCAGGUUCCCUCAGGGACUGUAACAUUUUAAAUAAUGUUUGUUUAUUUAUUUAAUUGGUGCAGUCGUGUUUGGAGCAGCUCUGAGAACUUGACUGGUCUAGAAGAUACUAAGGACUGACUUGUACCUUGUGUUGUACCCACUGAUACCUUCAUGCCCACCAUGAAGCUAACUGCAGGUCAUGAUUAUCUACAGCGCUGUGCGUUAACCGACCUCCAGGUGAACACUGAUUGGUUGGCGGAGAAGAAGUCUGGAAAAGUAUAACUUGGUGGUAAAGAUCAGUGAAAGUGUGCACAUUUCACUCUUACCUUGGCCAGUAAGGUCAUAGACCGGAACUUCUAGAAUUCCAGCAUUCUUAGAACCAGCUCACGCCAUAGUGAAGGAUCUCAGAAUCAACAGUAGCUUCUCUUAUUUAUUUAUUUAUUUAUUAUUGAGGGACAUUGUUUUAUAUUUAUUAUUAUUAUUGCUGUACUUUUUAUUUAUCGGAGAGAAGCCUGUGAAAUAAACCCUCUGCUUCACGUCACUAAGCUGUGGCCUCAAACUACAUGAUUUCAUGAUUAGUGUUUAAUUUAAGUUUCCCAACAUCAAACACAGUAUAUUAUAAUGACAUUGAUAUUAUAAUAAACCCCGGAAGCACCACAUUCACCUGUCUGAAUACAUUACACAACUUUACAUCUUUUAUUUUUAAAGAAAGAAAGAAAAAGAAUUCUCAUUGUUUUAACAUACAGCACGCCAUGUUUCCUCUCGCUGCAAUCAGACUUAACUCUUGAAAUGCAAAAGAACUAAACAAAAAUAAUAAAGAAAUGUUAUAUACAAUUAUAGAAAUGCAUUACUUAUAAUACCUUUCCAGCAUCACUCUUAUAUAAUAUGUCAUCUGAUUUAUGUGUACUGAAUAUAAAUAUAAACUCUGAGCAUCUAAAUAAAAUAAACAAUAAAAAACAAUAAAAUAAAAUGUCUCAAAACAGGUAAUAAAUGAAUAAAUCCAGUCAUUAUAUCUAGAAAUUAGAUAAUAAAAACUAUUCUACAGGAGGCACAUACAUGAAGACAAGAAACUCACAUUUAAGUGUCACACAAAAGAUCGUAAAUAUAUAUAUAUAUAUAUAUAUAUAUAUAUAUAUAUAUAUAUA
This is a long non-coding RNA of Ictalurus furcatus (blue catfish), 2132 nucleotides long. RefSeq lists it as uncharacterized. Lineage: Eukaryota; Metazoa; Chordata; Actinopteri; Siluriformes; Ictaluridae. The transcript has 2 exons. The record is from RefSeq and is a predicted model, not a curated record.